UAGAGCUGCCAGCAACCGACGUCUGCGGUGGAGGAGCUACGGCGUAGUUGUGGCGACUCCUCUUCGUUUUUACUCAAUUUACCCUAAACUCAUAAACACACAUUUAGAGAGAGAAAGACAGAAUGAGAGAGAACGACGUGAGAGAGAAACCGAUGAAAGGAAGAGGAAGCCGAUCACCCCAACCGGAUCAAGGUGAUGAUGGCGACGACUCCGACAACCAGAUUGGCAGCGAUGCACUAGGGUUCCAGUUUGGGAUUUUUGAAACCAGAUAGUGAAGGUGUUGAGGACGUCUGCAAUCUGGUUGUCCAGUUUGGGGGUUUUGAAACACACAGCCGGAAUUAACAGUUCAUGACUCAGCCGUAGGUCACCGCCAUCGCAGACCGUUCCACCGUUUCGAGUUCGCUGUUGUAUCCCAAGAUCCAACGAUGGUUUGAGCUCGAUUUCAAAGUCUCUAAUGAUCCGAAGAUCGUGCUUCAGAGGUACCAGUAUAUUGGGGAGAAGAGGAAGGGGCUGGAUGUUUUGAAAGAGGGAUUUGAUGAUGAAGAGAAGCUUUCAAGAACCGUGUUUGUUGGGAAUCUGCCUUUGAAGGUGAAGAAGAAGGCAUUGUUGAAAGAGUUUAGUCAGUUUGGAGAGAUAGAAUCCGUUCGAAUUUGAUCUACUCCUUUAUUAGAUGAUAAAACUCCAAGAAAGGGUGCUGUGAUCAAGAAGAAAAUCAAUGAUGCUGUUGACAGGGUUAAUUCAUACAUUGUUUUCAAGACCAAAGAUUCUGCCCAAGCUUCUUUGUCACAUAACAAUAUAACAUGGCAGUUGUGGGUGGAAAUCAUAUUCAUGUAGACAGAGCUUGUCCGCCUCGCAAGAAACUUAAGGAAGAAAACGCUCCCGGAUUACCUUAUGUUGGAGAAGCAAUAACGCCAUCUGGCAACUGGCUUAUUGGUCGAGAUCCAGAAGUAUAAUAAGGCCCUACCACCAACCCUUCGGGGCAUGCAUCAAAUGUGCCAGGGGCAGUAGCACAGGACCAGAGUUAUUAAGUGAAUAUCCGCCGCAUCGCGGCGAGUUACUUUUCUAGUUAGUUCUAAUUUAGAAGUUUUGUCCUAUCCCAUGUUCCCAGUAAAAUACCAUUAAGUUUUCAAAUAAACAUUUUUUUGACCCAUUUCCUUGUAGCGUGCCCACAACCCCACUUCACCUCCAUUUCAAAUGUAUCCUAUUUUAUUUUCAACAAGCGUACACUUUGAAAUUAGUUUUUGAAAGGAUUUUUGUAACUCGGAAAAUACUUUUUUGAA
RNAcentral lists this long non-coding RNA (1280 nucleotides) under Helianthus annuus (common sunflower). The record is from RNAcentral. Lineage: Eukaryota; Viridiplantae; Streptophyta; Magnoliopsida; Asterales; Asteraceae.